AAGCCGCAAGGCGAGUAGAGCGGCGAAAGGGUGAGUAACACGUAACCAACCUACCCCUCAGAUCGGAAUAACCGCUGGAAACGGCGGAUAAUGCUGGAUGUUCCUGACUGGAGGCAUCUCCGGUUCGGCAAAUGGUGGCGCAAGCUGCCGCUGUGGGAGGGGGUUGCGGGCUAUCAGCUAGUUGGCGGGGUAACGGCCCACCAAGGCGAUGACGGCUACCGGGUCUGAGAGGACGGUCCGGCACACUGGGACUGAGACACUGCCCAGACUCCUACGGGAGGCUGCAGUCGAGAAUCUUCCGCAAUGGGCGAAAGCCUGACGGAGCGACACCGCGUGCAGGAUGAAGGCCUUCGGG
This 355-nucleotide ribosomal RNA is filed under the name uncultured bacterium. Its description in RNAcentral is "bacterial SSU rRNA". It matches the Rfam family "Bacterial small subunit ribosomal RNA", at positions 74 to 422 of the family's 1533-position model. The record is from RNAcentral.